This 258-nucleotide ribosomal RNA is filed under the name uncultured bacterium. RNAcentral describes it as "partial 16S ribosomal RNA". It matches the Rfam family "Bacterial small subunit ribosomal RNA", at positions 524 to 776 of the family's 1533-position model. The record is from RNAcentral.
UACGGAGGGUGCAAGCGUUGUCCGGAUUUAUUGGGUUUAAAGGGUGCGUAGGCGGCCUAAUAAGUCAGUGGUGAAAGCCUCCCGCUUAACGGGAGAACUGCCAUUGAUACUGUUAGGCUUGAGUAUACUUGAGGUAGGCGGAAUUGACAGUGUAGCGGUGAAAAUGCAUAGAUAUUGUCAAGAACACCAAUUGCGAAGGCAGCUUACUAAAAUUAUAACUGACGCUGAGGCACGAAAAGUGUGGGGUAUCAAAACAGG